Long non-coding RNA from Zalophus californianus (California sea lion), 240 nucleotides. RefSeq lists it as uncharacterized. Lineage: Eukaryota; Metazoa; Chordata; Mammalia; Carnivora; Otariidae. The transcript has 3 exons. The record is from RefSeq and is a predicted model, not a curated record.
GUUACACUAGUGUGCCCAGGAAAAAAUUCAUCCAGCUGUACAUCUAUGAUAUACCCUGCCUCUGUAGAGCCCAGGCCCCACCUAUAGGUAUGUGGCUUCUGGAAACCAAUAAUCUUGGUUGAGACAUUGACUGCCAAUUGCUCACUGGGUGAUCAUGGUAAAACGGACAUAAUAUCUAAAAAGGUUUAACCAGUUGUGAAGACGAUCAAAAAUUUCAUAUGAAAACAUCAUGCCUUAUCU